This 422-nucleotide ribosomal RNA is filed under the name uncultured bacterium. RNAcentral describes it as "bacterial SSU rRNA". It matches the Rfam family "Bacterial small subunit ribosomal RNA", at positions 355 to 774 of the family's 1533-position model. The record is from RNAcentral.
UGAGGAAUAUUGGGCAAUGCCCGCAAGGGUGACCCAGCAACGCCGCGUGGAGGAUGAAUGUCGUAAGAUUGUAAACUCCUGUUAGAGGGGAAGAAUAGUACCGGUUGGACCGGUAUAUGACUGUACCCUCAGAGAAAGCCCCGGCUAACUACGUGCCAGCAGCCGCGGUAAUACGUAGGGGGCAAGCGUUGUCCGGAUUUACUGGGUGUAAAGGGCGCGCAGGCGGGAUAAAAAGUCAGUGGUGAAAUCCUACAGCUUAACUGUAGAACUGCCUUCGAUACUUUUAUUCUUGAGUUCGGGAGAGAGAGACGGAAUUCCAGCUGUAGUGGUGAAAUACGUAGAUAUCUGGAAGAACACCAGUUGCGAAGGCGGUCUCUUGGUCCGACACUGACGCUGAGGCGCGAAAGCGUGGGGAGCAAACA